GUCGAGCGAACAGAUGAGGAGCUUGCUCCUCUGACGUUAGCGGCGGACGGGUGAGUAACACGUGGAUAACCUACCUAUAAGACUGGGAUAACUACGGGAAACCGGAGCUAAUACCGGAUAAUAUAUUGAACCGCAUGGUUCAAUAGUGAAAGACGGUUUUGCUGUCACUUAUAGAUGGAUCCGCGCCGCAUUAGCUAGUUGGUAAGGUAACGGCUUACCAAGGCAACGAUGCGUAGCCGACCUGAGAGGGUGAUCGGCCACACUGGAACUGAGACACGGUCCAGACUCCUACGGGAGGCAGCAGUAGGGAAUCUUCCGCAAUGGGCGAAAGCCUGACGGAGCAACGCCGCGUGAGUGAUGAAGGUCUUCGGAUCGUAAAACUCUGUUAUUAGGGAAGAGCAAAUGUGUAAGUAACUAUGCACGUCUUGACGGUACCUAAUCAGAAAGCCACGGCUAACUACGUGCCAGCAGCCGCGGUAAUACGUAGGUGGCAAGCGUUAUCCGGAAUUAUUGGGCGUAAAGCGCGCGUAGGCGGUUUUUUAAGUCUGAUGUGAAAGCCCACGGCUCAACCGUGGAGGGUCAUUGGAAACUGGAAAACUUGAGUGCAGAAGAGGAAAGUGGAAUUCCAUGUGUAGCGGUGAAAUGCGCAGAGAUAUGGAGGAACACCAGUGGCGAAGGCGACUUUCUGGUCUGUAACUGACGCUGAUGUGCGAAAGCGUG
Molecule: ribosomal RNA, 720 nt
Filed under: uncultured Staphylococcus sp.
Lineage: Bacteria; Bacillati; Bacillota; Bacilli; Caryophanales; Staphylococcaceae
Description: bacterial SSU rRNA
Rfam family: Bacterial small subunit ribosomal RNA
Source: RNAcentral